This 245-nucleotide ribosomal RNA is filed under the name uncultured bacterium. Its description in RNAcentral is "partial 16S ribosomal RNA". It matches the Rfam family "Bacterial small subunit ribosomal RNA", at positions 528 to 772 of the family's 1533-position model. The record is from RNAcentral.
GGGGGUGCAAGCGUUGUCCGGAAUCAUUGGGCGUAAAGCGUUCGUAGGCGGUAAAGAAAGUCAGAUGUUAAAGCCCGGGGCUUAACUCCGGAUCGGCAUUUGAUACUUCUUAACUGGAAUGCGGUAGAGGUAAAGGGAAUUCCUGGUGUAGCGGUGAAAUGCGUAGAUAUCAGGAGGAACAUCAGAGGCGAAAGCGCUUUACUGGGCCGUUAUUGACGCUGAGGAACGAAAGCCGGGGGAGCAAA